This 465-nucleotide ribosomal RNA is filed under the name uncultured bacterium. RNAcentral's name for it is "partial 16S ribosomal RNA". It matches the Rfam family "Bacterial small subunit ribosomal RNA", at positions 339 to 795 of the family's 1533-position model. The record is from RNAcentral.
CUACGGGGGGCUCCAGUGGGGAAUAUUGCACAAUGGGCGCAAGCCUGAUGCAGCCAUGCCGCGUGUAUGAAGAAGGCCUUCGGGUUGUAAAGUACUUUCAGCGGGGAGGAAGGGAGUAAAGUUAAUACCUUUGCUCAUUGACGUUACCCGCAGAAGAAGCACCGGCGUAACUCCGUGCCAGCAGCCGCGGUAAUACGGAGGGUGCAAGCGUUAAUCGGAAUUACUGGGCGUAAAGCGCACGCAGGCGGUUUGUUAAGUCAGAUGUGAAAUCCCCGGGCUCAACCUGGGAACUGCAUCUGAUACUGGCAAGCUCGAGUCUCGUAGAGGGGGGUAGAAUUCCAGGUGUAGCGGUGAAAUGCGUAGAGAUCUGGAGGAAUACCGGUGGCGAAGGCGGCCCCCUGGACGAAGACUGACGCUCAGGUGCGAAAGCGUGGGGAGCAAACAGGAUUAGAUACCCGUGUAGUC